This 375-nucleotide ribosomal RNA is filed under the name uncultured bacterium. Its description in RNAcentral is "bacterial SSU rRNA". It matches the Rfam family "Bacterial small subunit ribosomal RNA", at positions 525 to 896 of the family's 1533-position model. The record is from RNAcentral.
ACGUAGGACGCAAGCGUUAUCCGGAAUUACUGGGCGUAAAGCGCGUGUAGGCGGAUGGUUAGGUCAUUGGUGAAAGCUCCGGGCUAAACUCGGAGAGGUCCGAUGAUACUGAUCAUCUAGAGGGGGUCAGAGGGGUGCGGAAUUCCGGGUGUAGUGGUGAAACGCGUAGAGAUCCGGAGGAACACCAGAGGCGAAGGCGGCACCCUGGGGCCAACCUGACGCUGAGACGCGAAAGCAUGGGGAGCGAACGGGAUUAGAGACCCCGGUAGUCCAUGCCGUAAACGAUGUAGACUAGAUGUGCGGUUCACUACGGUGAAGUGCGUGUCGCAGCUAACGCGAUAAGUCUACCGCCUGGGGAGUACGGCCGCAAGGUUA